RNAcentral lists this ribosomal RNA (274 nucleotides) under uncultured Streptococcus sp. RNAcentral describes it as "partial 16S ribosomal RNA". It matches the Rfam family "Bacterial small subunit ribosomal RNA", at positions 1110 to 1382 of the family's 1533-position model. The record is from RNAcentral. Lineage: Bacteria; Bacillati; Bacillota; Bacilli; Lactobacillales; Streptococcaceae.
GUUAGUUGUCCAUCAGUUCAGUUGGGCACUCUAGCGAGACUGCCGGUAAUAAACCGGAGGAAGGUGGGGAUGACGUCAAAGUCAUCAUGCCCCUUAUGACCUGGGCUACACACGUGCUACAAUGGUUGGUACAACGAGUUGCGAGUCGGUGACGGCGAGCUAAUCUCUUAAAGCCAAUCUCAGUUCGGAUUGUAGGCUGCAACUCGCCUACAUGAAGUCGGAAUCGCUAGUAAUCGCGGAUCAGCACGCCGCGGUGAAUACGUUCCCGGGCCUU